RNAcentral lists this ribosomal RNA (496 nucleotides) under uncultured bacterium. Its description in RNAcentral is "partial 16S ribosomal RNA". It matches the Rfam family "Bacterial small subunit ribosomal RNA", at positions 29 to 507 of the family's 1533-position model. The record is from RNAcentral.
AUGAACGCUGGCGGCGUGCCUCAUACAUGCAAGUCGAGCGAACGGACGAGAAGCUUGCUUCUCUGAUGUUAGCGGCGGACGGGUGAGUAACACGUGGAUAACCUACCUAUAAGACUGGGAUAACUUCGGGAAACCGGAGCUAAUACCGGAUAAUAUUUUGAACCGCAUGGUUCAAAAGUGAAAGACGGUCUUGCUGUCACUUAUAGAUGGAUCCGCGCUGCAUUAGCUAGUUGGUAAGGUAACGGCUUACCAAGGCAACGAUGCAUAGCCGACCUGAGAGGGUGAUCGGCCACACUGGAACUGAGACACGGUCCAGACUCCUGCGGGAGGCAGCAGUAGGGAAUCUUCCGCAAUGGGCGAAAGCCUGACGGAGCAACGCCGCGUGAGUGAUGAAGGUCUUCGGAUCGUAAAACUCUGUUAUUAGGGAAGAACAUAUGUGUAAGUAACUGUGCACAUCUUGACGGUACCUAAUCAGAAAGCCACGGCUAACUACGUG